UCUUGACAAACAUGCGUGCCAGCAGUCGCGGCAAGACGCUAAAGACUAGUGUUAUUCAUUUUUAAUAGGUUUUAAGGGUACCUAGACGGUAAAUUAAGCCUUAAUUGGAACUAAUUUAACUAGAGUUACAUGUAAGGGUGCUGUAACGUACUAUUGAGUGUAGAGAUGAAAUUCUGUCAUACCAGAUGAUUGGCACGGGUUUAGGCGAAAGCAUCACCUUAUGUAAUAACUGACGUUGAGGGACGAAGGCUUUUAAUGUAAAAAGGAUUAGAUACCCUCGUAGUCAAAGCAGAAAAUGAUGAAUGUCAUAGAUUAGAUAUUAUUUAUUCUAUAAAUGAAAGUGUAAGCAUUCCACCUCAAGAGUAAUUUGGCAACAUUGGAAUUGAAAUCAUUAGACCGUUUCUGAAACCAGUAGUGAAGUAUGUUGUUUAAUUAGAUAGUGCACAAAGAACCUUACCACAACUUGAAUAUUUUACAAGCGUUGCACGGCUGUUUUUAGUUAAUGUCGUGAGAUUGUGGAUAGUUCCAUUAAUUAACGUAAACCCUUACUUUAUUUUAUUUUAUAUAAAGUAGUUCCCCCGUUAUAUGGGCAAGAUAAAAGGGAGUAA
Molecule: ribosomal RNA, 608 nt
Filed under: Leptogium austroamericanum
Lineage: Eukaryota; Fungi; Ascomycota; Lecanoromycetes; Peltigerales; Collemataceae
Description: SSU rRNA
Rfam family: Bacterial small subunit ribosomal RNA
Source: RNAcentral